This 459-nucleotide ribosomal RNA is filed under the name uncultured bacterium. RNAcentral describes it as "SSU rRNA". It matches the Rfam family "Bacterial small subunit ribosomal RNA", at positions 26 to 518 of the family's 1533-position model. The record is from RNAcentral.
AGAAUCAACGCUGGCGGCGUGCCUAACACAUGCAAGUCGAACGAGAAAGUGGAGCAAUCCAUGAGUAAAGUGGCGCACGGGUGAGUAACACGUGACUAACCUACCCUGGAGUGGGGGAUAACUGAGGGAAACCUUAGCUAAUACCGCAUAAUACCCACGGGUCAAAGGAGCAAUUCGCUCGAGGAGGGGGUCGCGGCCGAUUAGUUAGUUGGCGGGGUAAUGGCCCACCAAGACGAUGAUCGGUAUCCGGCCUGAGAGGGCGCACGGACACACUGGAACUGAAACACGGUCCAGACUCCUACGGGAGGCAGCAGUGGGAAUUUUGCGCAAUGGGGGAAACCCUGACGCAGCAACGCCGCGUGGAGGAUGAAGUCCUUCGGGACGUAAACUCCUUUCGAUCGGGACGAUUAUGACGGUACCGGAAGAAGAAGCCCCGGCUAACUUCGCGCCAGCAGCCGC